GACGAACGCUGGCGGCGCGCUUAACACAUGCAAGUCGAGCGGUAAGGCCCUUUCGGGGGUACGACGAGCGGCGAACGGGUGAGUAACACGUGGGUGACCUGCCCUCAGCUCUGGGAUAAGCCUGGGAAACUGGGUCUAAUACUGGAUAUGACUCCACGGUGCAUGUCGUGGGGUGGAAAGCCUUGUGCGGCUGAGGAUGGGCCCGCGGCCUAUCAGCUUGUUGGUGGGGUGANGGCCUACCAAGGCGACGACGGGUAGCCGGCCUGAGAGGGCGACCGGCCACACUGGGACUGAGACACGGCCCAGACUCCUACGGGAGGCAGCAGUGGGGAAUAUUGGACAAUGGGGCGAAAGCCUGAUCCAGCAAUGCCGCGUGUGUGAAGAAGGCCUGCGGGG
This 396-nucleotide ribosomal RNA is filed under the name uncultured bacterium. RNAcentral's name for it is "bacterial SSU rRNA". It matches the Rfam family "Bacterial small subunit ribosomal RNA", at positions 28 to 423 of the family's 1533-position model. The record is from RNAcentral.